RNAcentral lists this ribosomal RNA (232 nucleotides) under uncultured Florenciella. Its description in RNAcentral is "partial Bacterial large subunit ribosomal RNA". It matches the Rfam family "Bacterial large subunit ribosomal RNA", at positions 1318 to 1553 of the family's 2925-position model. The record is from RNAcentral. Lineage: Eukaryota; Dictyochophyceae; Florenciellales.
GGGGUGAAAAACCCCCCCGCCGAAAGAUCAAGGUUUCCUGUCCAACGUUAAUCGGGACAGGGUGAGUCGGCACCUAAGGCGAGGGCGAAGGCCGUAGUCGAUGGAAAAUCGGUUAAAAUUCCGAUACCGAUUCUUACUGCGAUGGAGGGACGGAGCAGGCUAGGCUAGCACGGCGUUGGUAGUCCGUGUUUAAGCGUGUAGGUAGGGGGAUUAGGUAAAUCCGGUUCCUCGU